ACAUCAUCCUCUAGGAAGUGACAUCAUAUUGGAGGGUAAACCACAAUGGCAUUUCUUGGUUUGUCUGUGAACAAUAUAUCUGUCUGAUAAAGCCAUGUAAAUCGGUAUAAUUAUAUUUCAAAUGAACUUAAUGCUUGAAAUGCUGUAAACUCUUGUAUGUAAACUAACUCUAGUCAAUCAAUUAGCAAAGGCUAACCGUUAUUUCCACCCUGUUCGGAUGAUUUGUCUUUAUGUCAUAUGCAUGCAUAGCAUAUAAAAACGGCGUUUUGUCGAUAAAUUAGUUCUAAGAUAAGUUUAUUUUUAUUUUGUCCUAUCUCUGUAGCGCCAUACGCAGAUUGAGGCAGUACAACAAACUACCACUAGAGGGCAGAACAUGAUGCAUGUUGUGUCAAAACGUUACAUUUCUUUCUUUCUUUUUGCCUUUGGAUGCUUUUCUUCUUCGACAUCAGUGCAUCAUAAAGAAAGGAACAAAAGUUUGGCCUCUGGCUCCUGCAGGGCCCCCAAGCGAGCACUUUUUGGGGUUCACAGUGUGGUGACCUCUGAGGAGAUGCAGUAACGUCCUGAACUCUUCAGCAUCAAAGAGAUCUGCGGGGGGGCGGAGCUGAUACAGAACGCAUCACAAUGCCGGUCCACCUACACUCUCCCGCUCCUGUUCCUCACUUUCCUCAAGUAUGCGAAUAUGAAUGACUUCAGUCCUCUCCCUGUGACCUCUCUAUCACAUCACCUCUGGUACUUUAAUCCUUUUAGCUGAUGAUCACAGAUUUGAUUAAACUUUUUGUUUGUUUAAAUGUAUGGUUCACCUAAAAAUGUUCUGACAGUUUACUCACCCGCAGGCCACCCGAGAUGUAGAUAAGUUUGUUUCUUAAUGGGAAGAUUUGAAGAAAUCAGUCCAAACAGCUGAUAAAAACAUCACAGUAAUCCAGCCCAUCAGUUAACAUCUUGUGAAGUAAAAAUCUAUAUUUCUGCAAAAAACAAAUCCAUCAAGUUUUUUUUUUUUUUUUUCUUCGAACCAUUGCGUCUGGCCAAAAUACGAGUCCAUAUAAUUCAUAAUAAUGCUUCCUCCUGUGAAAAAGUCCAUCUCCUGUUGUCCUCUCACAUCAAAAUCCACCGACAUAACUGUUUUGGACUGUUUUCUCUUGUAAACAGUGCUUGAUAUGUGCUGAUUUCUCUCCUGAUUCAGAUGAGAUGCCUUUUCACUGGAGAAAGCAAUAUUAUGGAUAGAGGACUCAUAUUUUAGUCACAAGAUGUUAACUGAUGGACUGGAGUGGUGUGGAUUACUUGUGGAUUAUUGUUUUGUUUUUAUCAGCUGUUUGGACUCUCAUUCUGACGGCACCCAUUCACGGCAGAGGAUCCUUUGGUGAGCAAGUGAUGCAAUGCUACAUUUCUACAAAUAUGUUCCAGUGAAGAAACAAACUCAUCUAAGUCUUGGAUGGCCUGAGGUUGAGUUCAUUUCCAGAAAAUGUUCAUUUUGAAGGGAACUAUUCCUUUAUUUCAGCUUUGCAUCACAGGAAUAAAUUACAUUUUAAAAUAUAUUCA
Molecule: long non-coding RNA, 1536 nt
Organism: Cyprinus carpio (common carp)
Lineage: Eukaryota; Metazoa; Chordata; Actinopteri; Cypriniformes; Cyprinidae
Source: Ensembl